UAUUCCUCAGUUAAAUGUCAGCCCCAAAAACCACCGUAAAACUAGAACUCUGCGAUGUUCCUUCACCAGGAAGUCCUUGGUGCCUUUGGAAAAGAAAUUCUUAAGGACCCAUUUCGAUGGCGGGGCUCUGGACCAAAAAGGCUACAGUAGGGAUUUAAAUUGUGGUCCCGGCCGUGUUUUUGGUCGCGUUGCGUUUAUCGCGGUUGCGGAGAUAACGGAUGAUAUUGUGGUCAUUGCUCAUAUCGC
Molecule: long non-coding RNA, 246 nt
Filed under: Gossypium barbadense (sea-island cotton)
Lineage: Eukaryota; Viridiplantae; Streptophyta; Magnoliopsida; Malvales; Malvaceae
Description: long non-coding RNA (GBAR_LNC007193)
Source: RNAcentral